CACAUGCAAGUCGAACGGUAACAUUUCUAGCUUGCUAGAAGAUGACUAGUGGCGGACGGGUGAGUAAUGCUUGGGAACUUGCCUUUGCGAGGGGGAUAACAGUUGGAAACGACUGCUAAUACCGCAUAAUGUCUUCGGACCAAACGGGGCUUCGGCUCCGGCGCAAAGAGAGGCCCAAGUGAGAUUAGCUAGUUGGUAAGGUAACGGCUUACCAAGGCGACGAUCUCUAGCUGUUCUGAGAGGAAGAUCAGCCACACUGGGACUGAGACACGGCCCAGACUCCUACGGGAGGCAGCAGUGGGGAAUAUUGCACAAUGGGGGAAACCCUGAUGCAGCCAUGCCGCGUGUGUGAAGAAGGCCUUCGGGUUGUAAAGCACUUUCAGUUGUGAGGAAAAGUUAGUAGUUAAUACCUGCUAGCCGUGACGUUAACAACAGAAGAAGCACCGGCUAACUCCGUGCCAGCAGCCGCGGUAAUACGGAGGGUGCGAGCGUUAAUCGGAAUUACUGGGCGUAAAGCGCACGCAGGCGGUUUGUUAAGCUAGAUGUGAAAGCCCCGGGCUCAACCUGGGAUGGUCAUUUAGAACUGGCAGACUAGAGUCUUGGAGAGGGGAGUGGAAUUCCAGGUGUAGCGGUGAAAUGCGUAGAUAUCUGGAGGAACAUCAGUGGCGAAGGCGACUCCCUGGCCAAAGACUGACGCUCAUGUGCGAAAGUGUGGGUAGCGAACAGGAUUAGAUACCCUGGUAGUCCACACCGUAAACGCUGUCUACUAGCUGUGUGUGCCUUUAAGGCGUGCGUAGCGAAGCUAACGCGCUAAGUAGACCGCCUGGGGAGUACGGCCGCAAGGUUAAAACUCAAAUGAAUUGACGGGGGCCCGCACAAGCGGUGGAGCAUGUGGUUUAAUUCGAUGCAACGCGAAGAACCUUACCUACACUUGACAUGCUGAGAGUUACUAGAGAUAGUUUCGUGCCUUCGGGUACUCAGACACAGUGCUGCAUGCUGUCGUCAGCUCGUGUCGUGAGAUGUGGAUAAGUCCCGCACGAGCGCACCCUUGUCUAGUGCCAGCUUAGUGGGCACUCUAGAGACUGCGUGACAACCGGAGAAGGUGGGACGACGUCAGUCAUCAUGGCCCUACGUGUAGGCUACCACCGGCUACAAUGGCAUUACGAGGGAGCGAGACCAUUUAUUGACGAACCCUUAAAAAGUGUGUUUAUCCCCGGGAUGGAGGCUUCCGGCCUCCCUACGA
Molecule: ribosomal RNA, 1243 nt
Filed under: uncultured Gammaproteobacteria bacterium
Lineage: Bacteria; Pseudomonadati; Pseudomonadota; Gammaproteobacteria
Description: partial 16S ribosomal RNA
Rfam family: Bacterial small subunit ribosomal RNA
Source: RNAcentral